This is a long non-coding RNA of Erpetoichthys calabaricus (reedfish), 314 nucleotides long. RefSeq lists it as uncharacterized. The transcript is spliced from 3 exons. The record is from RefSeq and is a predicted model, not a curated record. NCBI's taxonomy places the organism in Eukaryota, Metazoa, Chordata, Cladistia, Polypteriformes, Polypteridae.
GACAGCAGUCAGAACAAUUGGAAAGCAUCAAGGAUUUAAGGAGACAUUGCUUGGAAUCUGAGAUUCCACCUACCAAGAAAGAUCAGGAAGGUGAAUAUCAGUCGCUGUCCCACAAGGACCAGGCCUUAUAUGAAGUGUGUGACCGCUCCCAAAGAACAAGAAGGAAAUGAAGAAUGAAGGAGAGGAUACGAAGAAGAACCGAUAAAAGGGGAAGAAGGCUGUUUGAGCAAAACUGAAAUGCAUUUUAAUUUUUACAGUUUCACAUCCUUUCAAAAUAAACUUAUAAGAGCGGACCACCACCACCUCUACUCACU